CAAGAAUGACCUCUAUGCAAAUUCAUUUAAUGUUUUUAAUAAGGUUGAGCUUGUUGGCAUGUGUGGAUAUGAUUCAGCAUUUUACUUGGGCACUGGAUGCUUCCAUAGAAGAGAGAGUCUCUGUGGAAAGAAUUACUCUGAGGAUAAUAAAUUGAGAUUGGACAUUAAAGAUGCUAAAAAGAAUGAUAAAAGGACACUUGAAGAAGCUUCAAAAAUUGUUGCUAGUUGCAGCUAUGAGAAGGACACUCAAUGGGGCAAAGAGAUGGGAUUGGUGUAUGGGUGUCCAGUUGAAGACAAUAUUACUGGCUUUNNNGAAAAUCCAAUGCAGGGGAUGGAAAUCAGUUUAUUAUUGUCCAAAUAAAGAAGCCUUCUUGGGUGUAGCUCCUAAUACCUUAGAAGUGGCCUUGAUUCAACACAGGAG
RNAcentral lists this unclassified non-coding RNA (421 nucleotides) under Hevea brasiliensis (rubber tree). Lineage: Eukaryota; Viridiplantae; Streptophyta; Magnoliopsida; Malpighiales; Euphorbiaceae. The record is from RNAcentral.